Molecule: ribosomal RNA, 496 nt
Filed under: uncultured bacterium
Lineage: Bacteria
Description: partial 16S ribosomal RNA
Rfam family: Bacterial small subunit ribosomal RNA
Source: RNAcentral
GAUGAACGCUGGCGGCGUGCCUAAUACAUGCAAGUCGAGCGAACGGACGAGAAGCUUGCUUUUCUGAUGUUAGCGGCGGACGGGUGAGUAACACGUGGAUAACCUACCUAUAAGACUGGGAUAACUUCGGGAAACCGGAGCUAAUACCGGAUAAUAUUUUGAACCGCAUGAUUCAAAAGUGAAAGACGGUCUUGCUGUCACUUAUAGAUGGAUCCGCGCUGCAUUAGCUAGUUGGUAAGGUAACGGCUUACCAAGGCAACGAUGCAUAGCCGACCUGAGAGGGUGAUCGGCCACACUGGAACUGAGACACGGUCCAGACUCCUACGGGAGGCAGCAGUAGGGAAUCUUCCGCAAUGGGCGAAAGCCUGACGGAGCAACGCCGCGUGAGUGAUGAAGGUCUUCGGAUCGUAAAACUCUGUUAUUAGGGAAGAACAUAUGUGUAAGUAACUGUGCACAUCUUGACGGUACCUAAUCAGAAAGCCACGGCUAACUACGU